UACGGGAGCAGCAGUGGGGAAUAUUGCACAAUGGGCGAAAGCCUGAUGCAGCUAUGCCGCGUGUAUGAAGAAGGCCUUAGGGUUGUAAAGUACUUUCAUCGGGGAGGAAAAAACAAAACUAAUAAUUUUAUUUCUUGACGUUACCCGAAAAAGAAGCACCGGCUAACUCCGUGCCAGCAGCCGCGGUAAUACGGAGGGUGCUAGCGUUAAUCAGAAUUACUCGGGCGUAAAGAGCACGUAGGUGGUUUUUUAAGUCAGAUGUGAAAUCCCUGGGCUUAACCUAGGAACUGCAUUUUGAAACUGAAAUACUAGAGUAUCGUAGAGGGAGGUAGAAUUCUAGGUGUAGCGGUGAAAUGCGUAGAUAUCUGGAGGAAUACCUGUGGCGAAAGCGGCCUCCUAAACGAAUACUGACACUGAGGUGCGAAAGCGUGGGGAGCAAACAGGGAUUAGAUACC
RNAcentral lists this ribosomal RNA (455 nucleotides) under uncultured bacterium. RNAcentral describes it as "bacterial SSU rRNA". It matches the Rfam family "Bacterial small subunit ribosomal RNA", at positions 340 to 786 of the family's 1533-position model. The record is from RNAcentral.